RNAcentral lists this non-coding RNA (117 nucleotides) under Homo sapiens (human). The record is from Rfam by way of RNAcentral. Lineage: Eukaryota; Metazoa; Chordata; Mammalia; Primates; Hominidae.
GCUAGGCGCGGUGGCUCACGCCUGUAAUCCCAGCACUUUGGGAGGCUGAGGCGGGUGGAUCACCUGAGGUCAGGAGUUCGAGACCAGCCUGACCAACAUGGUGAAACCCUGUCUCUA